CCUGGCUCAGAUUGAACGCUGGCGGCAUGCCUUACACAUGCAAGUCGAACGGUAACAGGUCUUCGGAUGCUGACGAGUGGCGAACGGGUGAGUAAUACAUCGGAACGUGCCCAGUAAUGGGGGAUAGCCCGGCGAAAGCCGGAUUAAUACCGCAUACGCCCUGAGGGGGAAAGUGGGGGACCGCAAGGCCUCACGUUAUUGGAGCGGCCGAUGGCUGAUUAGCUAGUUGGUGAGGUAAAGGCUCACCAAGGCGACGAUCAGUAGCUGGUCUGAGAGGACGAUCAGCCACACUGGGACUGAGACACGGCCCAGACUCCUACGGGAGGCAGCAGUGGGGAAUUUUGGACAAUGGGGGCAACCCUGAUCCAGCAAUGCCGCGUGUGCGAAGAAGGCCUUCGGGUUGUAAAGCACUUUUGUCAGGGAAGAAAUCCUUUGGGCUAAUACCCUAGGGGGAUGACGGUACCUGAAGAAUAAGCACCGGCUAACUACGUGCCAGCAGCCGCGGUAAUACGUAGGGGGCGAGCGUUGUCCGGAAUUAUUGGGCGUAAAGAGCGUGUAGGCGGCUCGGUAAGUCCGCCGUGAAAACCCGGGGCUCAACCCCCAGGCUUGCGGUGGAUACUGUCGGGCUAGAGGGUGGUAGAGCGAGUGGAAAUUCCCGGUGUAGCGGUGAAAUGCGCAGAUUAUCGGAGGAACACCGGGUAGCGAAGCGGCUCCGCUGGGCCAUUCCCUGACCGCUGAGACGCGAAGCGUGGGGGGAGC
Molecule: ribosomal RNA, 759 nt
Filed under: uncultured bacterium
Lineage: Bacteria
Description: bacterial SSU rRNA
Rfam family: Bacterial small subunit ribosomal RNA
Source: RNAcentral